GAUGAACGCUGGCGGCGUGCCUAAUACAUGCAAGUCGAGCGAACAGACGAGGAGCUUGCUCCUCUGACGUUAGCGGCGGACGGGUGAGUAACACGUGGAUAACCUCCCUAUAAGACGGGGAUAACUUCGGAAAACCGGAGCUAAUACCGGAUAAUAUAUUGAACCGCAUGGUUCAAUAGUGAAAGACGGUUUUGCUGGCACUUAUAGAUGGAUCCGCGCCGCAUUAGCUAGUUGGUAAGGUAACGGCUUACCAAGGCAACGAUGCGUAGCCGACCUGAGAGGGUGAUCGGCCACACUGGAACUGAGACACGGUCCAGAGUCCUACGGGAGGCAGCAGUAGGGAAUCUUCCGCAAUGGGCGAAAGCCUGACGGAGCAACGCCGCGUGAGUGAUGAAGGUCUUCGGAUCGUAAAACUCUGUUAUUAGGGAAGAACAAAUGUGUAAGUAACUAUGCACGUCUUGACGGUACCUAAUCAGAAAGCAACGGCUAACUACGUG
This 497-nucleotide ribosomal RNA is filed under the name uncultured bacterium. Its description in RNAcentral is "partial 16S ribosomal RNA". It matches the Rfam family "Bacterial small subunit ribosomal RNA", at positions 28 to 507 of the family's 1533-position model. The record is from RNAcentral.